GACGAACGCUGGCGGCGUGCCUAACACAUGCAAGUCGAGCGGGGACAUUUAACAGAACGGAAGUUUUCGGACGGAAGGGAAGAUAAGUGUUCUAGCGGCGGACGGGUGAGUAACGCGCGAGCAACCUGUCCUUCACAGGGGGAGUAACACAGCGAAAGUUAGUACUAAUACCGCAUAAGACCACGGUACCGCAUGGUGCAGGGGUCGAAAGGAGGAAUCCGGUGAAGGGUGGGCUCGCGUCCGAUUAGAUAGUUGGUGAGGUAACGGCCCACCAAGUCAACGAUCGGUAGCCGACCUGAGAGGGUGAUCGGCCACAUUGGGACUGAGACGCGGCCCAA
This 338-nucleotide ribosomal RNA is filed under the name uncultured bacterium. RNAcentral describes it as "bacterial SSU rRNA". It matches the Rfam family "Bacterial small subunit ribosomal RNA", at positions 28 to 334 of the family's 1533-position model. The record is from RNAcentral.